RNAcentral lists this long non-coding RNA (488 nucleotides) under Bos taurus (domestic cattle). RNAcentral's name for it is "long non-coding RNA NONBTAT025544". Lineage: Eukaryota; Metazoa; Chordata; Mammalia; Artiodactyla; Bovidae. The record is from RNAcentral.
AUCCCACACCUAUGAGCCCAAGGGGAAAGUCAUAACCAGGCUUCGGCAUAAACCAUUUUGUUUCCUCUGACACUUUUAGGUCUCCUAAAAUGUAUGAGACCAUGCUAAUAAAAUCUAAAUUUUCUACUUAGCUUUUUAAAAAACAUCUCUCUUUCCUUAAGAGUAAAAUUUGGAACGACUAGAAAGCAUGCCUUCUUCCUGCUUUAUCAUUCAAAUUCCCUAGGCACAGACAAUAAAACUCUAUCUAAAGCAAAAGUCAAUGGAUAUAUCACCCUGGACAGAGGAUGACUUGUUUUUUUGCCAAUUUGGCUCAUUUCACCAAUCGCUGAUGAAUCACAAAGAUCCAGAAGACCUAUUGGUUUGAAAAUAGAACACCAGGGAUGCCAGAAACAAGAUUUUUAAAGUUCCUAUAAGAUCAGAAAUGAGCCCAAAUGAAUACAGUCAAGUUGAUGGAGGCUCCAAUGUGAAGUUCUGCCUAGUUGAUCCAU